This 467-nucleotide ribosomal RNA is filed under the name uncultured bacterium. Its description in RNAcentral is "partial 16S ribosomal RNA". It matches the Rfam family "Bacterial small subunit ribosomal RNA", at positions 28 to 507 of the family's 1533-position model. The record is from RNAcentral.
GACGAACGCUGGCGGCGUGCUUAACACAUGCAAGUCGAACGGAAAGGCCCUGCUUUUGUGGGUGCUCGGGUGGCGACCGGGUGAUUAACCCGUGAGUAACCUGCCCUUGACUUUGGGAUAACUUCAGGAAACUGGGGUUAAUACCGGAUAGGAGCUCCUGCUGCAUGGUGGGGGUUGGAAAGUUUCGGCGGUUGGGGAUGGACUCGCGGCUUAUCAGCUUGUUGGUGGGGUAGUGGCUUACCAAGGCUUUGACGGGUAGCCGGCCUGAGGGGGUGACCGGCGACAUUGGGACUGAGAUACGGCCCAGACUCCUACGGGAGGCAGCAGUGAGGAAUAUAGCACAAUGGGCGGAAGCCUGAUGCAGCAACGCCGCGUGCGGGAUGACGGCCUUCGGGUUGUAAACCGCUUUCGCCUGUGACGAAGCGUGAGUGACGGUAAUGGGUAAAGAAGCACCGGCUAACUACGUG